Molecule: ribosomal RNA, 497 nt
Filed under: uncultured bacterium
Lineage: Bacteria
Description: partial 16S ribosomal RNA
Rfam family: Bacterial small subunit ribosomal RNA
Source: RNAcentral
GAUGAACGCUGGCGGCGUGCCUAAUACAUGCAAGUUGAGCGAACGGACGAGAAGCUUGCUUCUCUGAUGUUAGCGGCGGACGGGUGAGUAACACGUGGAUAACCUACCUAUAAGACUGGGAUAACUUCGGGAAACCGGAGCUAAUACCGGAUAAUAUUUUGAACCGCAUGGUUCAAAAGUGAAAGACGGUCUUGCUGUCACUUAUAGAUGGAUCCGCGCUGCAUUAGCUAGUUGGUAAGGUAACGGCUUACCAAGGCAACGAUGCAUAGCCGACCUGAGAGGGUGAUCGGCCACACUGGAACUGAGACACGGUCCAGACUCCUACGGGAGGCAGCAGUAGGGAAUCUUCCGCAAUGGGCGAAAGCCUGACGGAGCGACGCCGCGUGAGUGAUGAAGGUCUUCGGAUCGUAAAACUCCGUUAUUAGGGAAGAACAUAUGUGUAAGUAACUGUGCACAUCUUGACGGUACCUAAUCAGAAAGCCACGGCUAACUACGUG